RNAcentral lists this ribosomal RNA (397 nucleotides) under uncultured bacterium. RNAcentral's name for it is "partial 16S ribosomal RNA". It matches the Rfam family "Bacterial small subunit ribosomal RNA", at positions 523 to 918 of the family's 1533-position model. The record is from RNAcentral.
AUACGUAGGGGGCGAGCGUUGUCCGGAAUGAUUGGGCGUAAAGGGCGCGUAGGCGGCCGCUUAAGUCUGGAGUGAAAGUCCUGCUUUCAAGAUGGGAAUUGCUUUGGAUACUGGGGGGCUUGAGUGCAGGAGAGGUUAUCGGAAUUCCCGGUGUAGCGGUGAAAUGCGUAGAGAUCGGGAGGAACACCAGUGGCGAAGGCGGGUAACUGGACUGCAACUGACGCUGAGGCGCGAAAGUGUGGGGAGCAAACAGGAUUAGAUACCCUGGUAGUCCACACUGUAAACGAUGAAUGCUAGGUGUAAGAGGUAUCGACCCCUUUUGUGCCGGAGUCAACACAAUAAGCAUUCCGCCUGGGGAGUACGGCCGCAAGGUUGAAACUCAAAUGAAUUGACGGGG